This 61-nucleotide transfer RNA is filed under the name Podarcis lilfordi (Lilford's wall lizard). RNAcentral's name for it is "tRNA.Ala". Lineage: Eukaryota; Metazoa; Chordata; Lepidosauria; Squamata; Lacertidae. The record is from RNAcentral.
ACAGUUCAGUGGUAGAGCAUCUGCCUUGCAAACAGAAGAUCCCAGGUUCAAUCCCCAGGUA